Molecule: ribosomal RNA, 253 nt
Filed under: uncultured bacterium
Lineage: Bacteria
Description: partial 16S ribosomal RNA
Rfam family: Bacterial small subunit ribosomal RNA
Source: RNAcentral
UACGGAGGGAGCUAGCGUUGUUCGGAAUUACUGGGCGUAAAGCGCACGUAGGCGGCUUUGUAAGUUAGAGGUGAAAGCCCGGGGCUCAACUCCGGAACUGCCUUUAAGACUGCAUCGCUUGAAUCCGGGAGAGGUGAGUGGAAUUCCGAGUGUAGAGGUGAAAUUCGUAGAUAUUCGCAAGAACACCAGUGGCGAAGGCGGCUCACUGGCCCGAUACUGACGCUGAGGCACGAAAGCGUGGGGAGCAAACAGG